GCCACCAUAGCUCAGUGGCAGAGCACUGGUCUUGUAAACCAGUGGUCGUGAGUUCGAUUCUCACUGGUGGCU
This 72-nucleotide transfer RNA is filed under the name Limulus polyphemus (Atlantic horseshoe crab). RNAcentral's name for it is "tRNA-Thr". It matches the Rfam family "tRNA". From Rfam's summary of the family: Transfer RNA (tRNA) molecules are approximately 80 nucleotides in length. Their secondary structure includes four short double-helical elements and three loops (D, anti-codon, and T loops). Further hydrogen bonds mediate the characteristic L-shaped molecular structure. tRNAs have two regions of fundamental functional importance: the anti-codon, which is responsible for specific mRNA codon recognition, and the 3' end, to which the tRNAs corresponding amino acid is attached (by aminoacyl-tRNA synthetases). tRNAs cope with the degeneracy of the genetic code in two manners: having more than one tRNA (with a specific anti-codon) for a particular amino acid; and 'wobble' base-pairing, i.e. permitting non-standard base-pairing at the 3rd anti-codon position. The record is from RNAcentral. Lineage: Eukaryota; Metazoa; Arthropoda; Merostomata; Xiphosura; Limulidae.